This 425-nucleotide ribosomal RNA is filed under the name Galathea subsquamata. RNAcentral describes it as "partial 16S ribosomal RNA". The stretch from base 293 to 425 matches the Rfam family "Bacterial large subunit ribosomal RNA", at positions 2473 to 2606 of the family's 2925-position model. Lineage: Eukaryota; Metazoa; Arthropoda; Malacostraca; Decapoda; Galatheidae. The record is from RNAcentral.
UUUUAAUUGAAGGCUUGUAUGAAGGGUUGGACAAAGGAUAAGCUGUCUUUUUUCUUGUUUUUGAAUUUGUCUUUUAAGUGAAAAGACUUAAAUUAUUUUAAGGGACGAUAAGACCCUAUAAAUCUUUAUAUUAGUGUAUUUUUAUUUUAAUUUUUAAUGUUUAUAAAGAUAAAAAUAUAAAAUAUUGUGUUGGGGUGAUGAGAAUAAUUAAUAAACUGUUCUAAAGAAAAACAAAGUUGUUUGAGGAAAUAGUAGAUCCUUUUUAAAGAUUAAAAGUUUAAGUUACUUUAGGGAUAACAGCGUUAUUUUUCUUGAGAGUUCUAAUCGAAAGAAAAGUUUGCGACCUCGAUGUUGAAUUAAAAUUUCUUUAUGGUGUAGCCGUUAUAAAAGAAAGUCUGUUCGACUUUUAAAAUUUUACGUGAUCU